RNAcentral lists this non-coding RNA (26 nucleotides) under Bombyx mori (domestic silkworm). Lineage: Eukaryota; Metazoa; Arthropoda; Insecta; Lepidoptera; Bombycidae. The record is from RNAcentral.
UACUAUGAAUUUUGGAAGGACGUUGC